CUAAGAAUCUUGCGCAAUGGGCGAAAGCCUGACGCAGCAACGCCGCGUGGGGGAGGAAGGCCUUCGGGUUGUAAACCCCUUUUGCGAGGGAAGAAGUUCUGACGGUACCUCGCGAAUAAGCCACGGCUAACUACGUGCCAGCAGCCGCGGUAAUACGUAGGUGGCAAGCGUUGUCCGGAUUUAUUGGGCGUAAAGAGCCCGCAGGCGGCUCGGUGUGUUUUAGGUGAAAUCUCCCGGCUCAACUGGGAGGGGUCCUAGAAAACUAUCGGGCUUGAGGCAGGGAGGGGAAUGCGGAAUUCCAGGUGUAGCGGUGAAAUGCGUAGAUAUCUGGAGGAACAUCAGCGGCGAAGGCGGCAUUCUGGCCCUGUCCUGACGCUCAGGGGCGAAAGCGUGGGGAGCAAACCGG
This 406-nucleotide ribosomal RNA is filed under the name uncultured bacterium. Its description in RNAcentral is "bacterial SSU rRNA". It matches the Rfam family "Bacterial small subunit ribosomal RNA", at positions 355 to 776 of the family's 1533-position model. The record is from RNAcentral.